Molecule: non-coding RNA, 73 nt
Organism: Trichonephila inaurata madagascariensis
Lineage: Eukaryota; Metazoa; Arthropoda; Arachnida; Araneae; Nephilidae
Source: the annotation of a GenBank genome assembly
GUCUCUGUAGUGCAGUGGUUAGCGCGUUGGAUUUCUGAUUCAAAUGUCGUGGGUUCUAAUCCCACCUAGGAUU